This 72-nucleotide transfer RNA is filed under the name Pangasianodon hypophthalmus (striped catfish). It matches the Rfam family "tRNA". From Rfam's summary of the family: Transfer RNA (tRNA) molecules are approximately 80 nucleotides in length. The record is from Rfam by way of RNAcentral. Lineage: Eukaryota; Metazoa; Chordata; Actinopteri; Siluriformes; Pangasiidae.
UCCCUGGAGGACUAGUGGUUAGUCCACGGCGCUCUCAUCUCUGCAGCCUGGGUUCGAUUUCCGGCCAGGGAA